RNAcentral lists this ribosomal RNA (492 nucleotides) under uncultured bacterium. RNAcentral's name for it is "partial 16S ribosomal RNA". It matches the Rfam family "Bacterial small subunit ribosomal RNA", at positions 30 to 507 of the family's 1533-position model. The record is from RNAcentral.
AUUGAACGCUGGCGGCAUGCUUUACACAUGCAAGUCGAACGGUAACAGGCCUUCGGGUGCUGUCGAGUGGCGAACGGGUGAGUAAUGCAUCGGAACGUACCCAGAGGUGGGGGAUAACGCAGCGAAAGCUGUGCUAAUACCGCAUGUGAUCUGAGGAUGAAAGCGGGGGACCGAGCAGCAAUGUUUGGCCUCGCGCCUUUGGAGCGGCCGAUGUCGGAUUAGCUAGUUGGUGGGGUAAAGGCCUACCAAGGCGACGAUCCGUAGCUGGUCUGAGAGGACGACCAGCCACACUGGGACUGAGACACGGCCCAGACUCCUACGGGAGGCAGCAGUGGGGAAUUUUGGACAAUGGGCGCAAGCCUGAUCCAGCAAUGCCGCGUGCGGGAAGAAGGCCUUCGGGUUGUAAAACGCUUUUGGCAGGAACGAAACGGUGUCCGCUAAUACCGGGCGCUAAUGACGGUACCUGCAGAAUAAGCACCGGCUAACUACGUG